RNAcentral lists this ribosomal RNA (253 nucleotides) under uncultured bacterium. Its description in RNAcentral is "partial 16S ribosomal RNA". It matches the Rfam family "Bacterial small subunit ribosomal RNA", at positions 524 to 776 of the family's 1533-position model. The record is from RNAcentral.
UACGUAGGGGGCAAGCGUUGUCCGGAUUUAUUGGGUUUAAAGGGUGCGUAGGCGGCUUUGUAAGUCAGUGGUGAAAUAUGGCAGCUCAACUGUCAGGGUGCCAUUGAUACUGCGGAGCUUGAGUACAGAUGAUGUAGGCGGAAUUGACGGUGUAGCGGUGAAAUGCUUAGAUAUCGUCAAGAACACCGAUAGCGAAGGCAGCUUACUAGGCUGUAACUGACGCUGAGGCACGAAAGUGUGGGGAUCAAACAGG